ACUCAAAUGAAUUGACGGGGGCUCACACAAGCGGUGGAGGAUGUGGUUUAAUUCGAAGCAACGCGCAGAACCUUACCAGGUCUUGACAUACCGGGAUUAGUUCAGUGAAAGCUGGAUGAUUGCCGUCAAAAGUGUAACCGGAACAGGUGCUGCAUGGCUGUCGUCAGCUCGUGCCGUGAGGUGUUAGGUUAAGUCCUUUAACGAGCGAAACCCCUACAACUAGUUACCAGCGCGUCAUGGCGGGGACUCUAGUUGGACUGCCGCGCAAGUAGGAGGAAGGUGGGGACGACGUCAAGUCAUCAUGGCCUUUAUGACCUGGGCCACACACGUCCUACAAUGGGUGUGACAGAGGGUAGCAGAACCGCAAGGCGAAGCCAAUCCCACAAACACACCCUCAGUUCAGAUUGUGGGCUGCAAUUCGCCCACAUGAAGCUGGAAUCGCUAGUAAUCGCGGAUCAGCCACGCCGCGGUGAAUAUGUUCCUGAGCCUUGUACACACCGCCCGU
This 505-nucleotide ribosomal RNA is filed under the name uncultured bacterium. RNAcentral's name for it is "partial 16S ribosomal RNA". It matches the Rfam family "Bacterial small subunit ribosomal RNA", at positions 899 to 1397 of the family's 1533-position model. The record is from RNAcentral.